GCACUGCUGAGGAGUCGCACAACAGAACGAAACAGCCGUCCAGUGC
Non-coding RNA from Schistosoma margrebowiei, 46 nucleotides. Lineage: Eukaryota; Metazoa; Platyhelminthes; Trematoda; Strigeidida; Schistosomatidae. The record is from Rfam.